Molecule: ribosomal RNA, 444 nt
Filed under: uncultured bacterium
Lineage: Bacteria
Description: bacterial SSU rRNA
Rfam family: Bacterial small subunit ribosomal RNA
Source: RNAcentral
GUAGGGAAUAUUGGACAAUGGGUGAGAGCCUGAUCCAGCCAUGCCGCGUGCAGGAAGAAAGCCUUCUGGGUUGUAAACUGCUUUUGCCAGGGGAUAAAAACACUAUGCGUAGUGGAUUGAAGGUACCUGGUGAAUAAGCCACGGCUAACUACGUGCCAGCAGCCGCGGUAAUACGUAGGUGGCAAGCGUUGUCCGGAUUUAUUGGGUUUAAAGGGUGCGUAGGCGGUUCCAUAAGUCAGUGGUGAAAUACGGCAGCUCAACUGUCGAGGUGCCAUUGAUACUGCGGAACUUGAGUACUGAUGAGGUAGGCGGAAUGGACGGUGUAGCGGUGAAAUGCUUAGAGAUCGUCCAGAACACCGAUAGCGAAGGCAGCUUACUAAGGAGUAACUGACGCUGAGGCACGAAAGUGUGGGGAUCAAACAGGAUUAGAUACCCUUGUAGUCC